This 216-nucleotide ribosomal RNA is filed under the name Glomeromycotina sp. RNAcentral's name for it is "partial small subunit ribosomal RNA". The stretch from base 40 to 216 matches the Rfam family "Eukaryotic small subunit ribosomal RNA", at positions 686 to 864 of the family's 1831-position model. Lineage: Eukaryota; Fungi; Glomeromycota. The record is from RNAcentral.
GGGUCAGUAGGUUGGUCGUGCCACCGGUACGUACUGGUCUCACUGAUUCCUCCUUCCUGAAGAACCGUAAUGCCAUUAAUUUGGUGUUGCGGGGAAACAAGACCGUUACUUUGAAAAAAUUAGAGUGUUUAAAGCAAGCUAACGCUUGAAUACAUUAGCAUGGAAUAAUGAAAUAGGACGAUCGAUCCUAUUUUGUUGGUUUCUAGGAUUGACGUA